CGGCACCUCCCGCCCCCUCUUGAAGGUUAAGUUAAUUUUAUUUAAUUCUCUAUAUCUAUAUAUAUAUAGAUAUUCUCUAUAUAGCGCCAAAUCACAACACAUUACCUUUUCUAUAGAACAGGACUAUACAUUGUCCUUUUAUUAAGCAAACUAAAUAGCCUUAUGUUAUUUAUGUUAUUUACACAGCAGCUUGACAUUUUUGUCUCUACACGGUCGGGCGUUUACAGGCCUCCUCUGCUCUCUGUCAUGCAUGGCGGAGCUCCGCCCCUAUGUGCGCACACACAGGUGAGCACACUCCCACCAGCGGACAGAGAGCGCGAGUCGGAAAAUAUGUCGCACCAAGCACCUGAAAAGCUGCUUUUUAAAAUAUUUAUAUAUUUUCUAUUUAUAUUUUUUAUAUUGACUGCUGUAGUUAAAAGAAACACAUGAACACCAUGAAUCCUGUAGGUGUCCGUCUGCCCCCCCCGCCCCCGAGGGGAAACACUGCCUUGCCUGCUCACCCAUGUUUAAUGCACCUUAGUUCUCCAUACUGACCAUCUAGUCCUGAUACACCGUGUGUGUGUGUGUGUGUGUGUAUAUGUAUGUAUGUAUGUAUGUGAAAGUAUAAGAUGGUGAAAAUCACAAGGUCACUGGUCCAAACCCAGCCUCAGCAUAUGGGUGGGCCUUUGCCCCCAGGCCCCUAACCCCCAGCUCCCUGGGCACCUCAACAGGUGGCUGCCCUUCACGGACAACUUACUCCACAAAACAGAGCACAAUGAGGGAGGUGUAAAGACAAUUCACCCACGGGGAUUAAUAAAGUAUUGAUUAUUAUUAUUAUAAUAUAUAAGCACAUACACACGCUUUGUAUAUAAUGAGAUGUAUAUUAUCAGGACUUGGUCUGUAUUCAGAUUGGUCUUUGUUUGAAUGGUUGCAUUCAAAUUAUACACACAAUAUACCUUUAUUCAUAAUAUUAAUAAUAUAAUGUUAAAAUGACAUUUGGACUAGACAUAUAUAUGCUUACAUAGUAUACAGUAUAUACAGUAACCCCACCCCCACAUUUCAGCAGGUGAUACAUUCCAAAACCGACCACAGAUAAUAGCGAACCAUCUACAGACCCCAUAUAGAACGUGAAUUGAUAAAUAACCAAGCGUAAGACAUUGCUGACAAUAAAUACAGUAAUAAGUACAUUUUACAUUACUUUACAGCACUAUAGCCUUAAAUUUUCACCAUCUUAUCCGUUUCACAUUGUUCUACUUAGAUGGAUUAACUUCUGCUCAAAAAUAAUAUAUAGCUAAUUAUAAAUAAGGAGAAUCAUGCAUAACAUAGCUAGACACCCAUUAGCAAUUAUUUGGGCAGUAGUGAUGAGCGGGUCGACCUGACCUAUGCUAAUGUUUCGCUAAUCAAGCCUCACAUCUCCAGGAUUUGCACCAUUUUAUAAUCCCACGUUGUUCUACUUUAGAUUAAUUUCUGCUCUCACAAAUGUGACUCAUGUACCUCUGACUGAAGAGAGAGUUUGCCAUAAUUGGUUCCAUAAAACUAAAUGAUCUCUUUCAGACCGAAAAGACAAGAGGCUAGUAAGAUUUGAAAAACAAAACAAAUUCCCUCAUCCAUAUUUAAAUACUACAAUGACAUGUAGAAAGACUGUACCUCACAAAUUUGUGUAAAUUUGUAUUAUGUGGUGGUUGAUGUUGCUAUUUAUUGUUAUUGUUGUUAUCACAGCUGCAGCUGUACUUAUCAUUUUUGUUAUUGCUAUUACUUUUGUUAUUGGCUCUAGUUGUUUUUCUUUUUAUUUAUUUUUAUUAUUUUUAUUUUCUUUUUGUUUUUCUUAAUUUUUCGUUUUUUUUUUUCGCAAUGGACAUGAAAAAAAAAAAACAGUCCUCCGCAGAGGAGGGGUGGUGGAGGGAAUGUACAUGUAAAAAAAAAUAAUUAUUAUAUGGAGGUUGAUGUUGCUAUUUAUUGUUAUUGUUGUUAUCAUAACUGCAGCUGUACUUAUCAUUUUUGAUAAAAAAUGAAAAAAACAUUUUUGAUUUGAAAAAAAAAAACAGUCCUCCGCAGAGGAGGGGUGGUGGAGGGAAUAUACAUGUAAAAAAAAUAAUUAUUAUAUGGAGGUUGAUGUUGCUAUUUAUUGUUAUUGUUGUUAUCAUAACUGCUGCUGUACUUAUCAUUUUUGUUAUUGCUAUUACUAUUGUUAUUGGCUCUAGUUGUUUUUCUUUUUUUUCUUUUUAUUAUUUUUAUUUUCUUUUUGUUUUUCUUUGUUUUUGUGUUUUUUUUCUUCAUAAUGGAAAUUUAAAAUAAAGUAGUCCUCCGCAGAGGAGGGGUGGUGGAGGGAAUAUGCAUGUAAAAAAAAAUAAUUGUCACGCAACAGGGGUGACAUAUAUCUCCCUGAGCCUGCGCAGUUUGUCGGGUGUUAUGGGUGGUCCCGAAGGGGUCUGACCCCCUCUGCUGGUGGUGGGCUGGGUUGGUGCGUGAGUUGUGUCACUGUGGGUCAGGGUCCUGACGGGUAUUCCGGGUACUUUGGGACACUACGUGCGUCGAAGGCGGCUUUGUGGUUUGGUCUUGUGCUGGGUGGGGGUGCCAACCUUCUUCUGUGGCCCUGGGUUCGGCUUCCUGGAAAGUGGGGUGGGCCCUUUUCACGGCCCCCCUCUACUUCCCGCUCCCCCUCAGCACUACUGGUGGUCGCAUGCCGGGGGGUCAGAAUGGGGGGGGUGUCGCUGCUACUCCCCACAUCAACUAUUAGCACAUCCAUGGACAAAUCGCUACAUUCACACACAAGCAUAAAUACAUACAUAUAUAGGUAUGCAUCCACACUUACCUGUACACCCCACACAUGUAGAUACACAUACACAACCAAUAGCAGACACGUUGUUUUUCUUUGUUUAUUUUUUGUGUUUUUUUUUGUUUGAAAUGGAAAUUAAAAAUAAAGCAGUCCUCCGCAGAGGAGGGGUGGUGGAGGGAAUAUAUAUGUAGAUAUAUAAAAUAAUUGUCUCACAACUAGGGUGACAUACCUUGCCUGCUCACUCAAUUUUAGUGCUCCUUAGUUAUCCAUACUGACCAUCUAGUCUCUGUCACGGGAGAUCGCGGGCAGAGCGGCGAUCGUGCGUGCAGGCGGGCAAGGACAGGCAGACAAGCAGAAAUCGGGGCAAAGUACGGGGUUUAAUCGGGGACACGGAACUACGAACACUGACUGACAUCAAUGACGGACGAAGGACUCAGGUAAGACACGGACUGAAAUACACAGGACUGAGCAAAUGAACUAGAUACAGCUGGGUACAAUCGGGAGAAAACACGUGGGUAAUCAGGGGGCGUGGCACACAGGAGGAGCGGACGAGCCGGGCAUGACAGUCUCGAUACACCCAUAUAUAUAUUUUUUUGGGAAUAUGGUGGGGUGCAUGGGAUUCCGCCGUCUGCCAGCGGUGGGGAGCUCGUACCCUGACCACUCCCUCACUUUUAAUGUACCGCAGUUUUGAAUUGCACACACUUCUGUUCACACACACAUUCAUACACACCGACAUGUACAUACAUUACACACACACACAUUGAGCGGGGGGGGGGCAGAUGGGGGCCUGAAGAGGGCCCCUUUUAUUCUCCCUCUCUGGGCCCUUGGAGGGUGUGGUGGGUGGUCCCGGGGGGGGUUUGGAGAGUACCCGGAAAACCUGCCUGGUCCUUGACCCACAGUGGCACAUCCUUGAUGAUAAUACGUUGUUGUAAAUUUGUAUUAUGUGGUGGUUGAUGUUGCUAUUUAUUGUUAUUGUUGUUAUCACAGCUGCAGCUGUACUUAUCAUUUUUGUUAUUGCUAUUAAUUUUGUUAUUGGCUCUAGUUUUUCUUUUUAUUUAUUUUUAUUAUUUUUAUUUUCUUUUUGUUUUUCUUAAUUUUUUGUUUUUUUUUACGCAAUGGACAUGAAAAAAAAAACAGUCCUCCGCAGAGGAGGGGUGGUGGAGGGAAUAUACAUGUAAAAAAAAAUAAUUAUUAUAUGGAGGUUGAUGUUGCUAUUUAUUGUUAUUGUUGUUAUCAUAACUGCAGCUGUACUUAUCAUUUUUGAUAAAAAAUGAAAAAAACAUUUUUGAUUUGAAAAAAAAAACAGUCCUCCGCAGAGGAGGGGUGGUGGAGGGAAUAUACAUGUAAAAAAACAUAUUAUUAUAUGAAGGUUGAUGUUGCUAUUUAUUGUUAUUGUUGUUAUCAUAACUGCAGCUGUACUUAUCAUUUUUGAUAAAAAAUGAAAAAAACAUUUUUGAUUUGAAAAAAAAAACAGUCCUCCGCAGAGGAGGGGUGGUGGAGGGAAUAUACAUGUAAAAAAAAAUAUUAUUAUAUGAAGGUUGAUGUUGCUAUUUAUUGUUAUUGUUGUUAUCAUAACUGCUGCUGUACUUAUCAUUUUUGUUAUUGCUAUUACUAUUGUUAUUGGCUCUAGUUGUUUUUCUUUUUUUUAUUUUUAUUAUUUUUAUUUUCUUUUUGUUUUUCUUUGUUUUUGUGUUUUUUUUCUUCAUAAUGGAAAUUUAAAAUAAAGUAGUCCUCCGCAGAGGAGGGGUGGUGGAGGGAAUAUGCAUGUAAAAAAAAAAUAAUUGUCACGCAACAGGGGUGACAUAUAUCUCCCUGAGCCUGCGCAGUUUGUCGGGUGUUAUGGGUGGUCCCGAAGGGGUCUGACCCCCUCUGCUGGUGGUGGGCUGGGUUGGUGCGUGAGUUGUGUCACUGUGGGUCAGGGUCCUGACGGGUAUUCCGGGUACUUUGGGACACUACGUGCGUCGAAGGCAGCUUUGUGGUUUGGUCUUGUGCUGGGUGGGGGUGCCUACCUUCUUCUGUGGCCCUGGGUUCGGCUUCCUGGAAAGUGGGGUGGGCCCUUUUCACGGCCCCCCUCUACUUCCCGCUCCCCCUCAGCACUACUGGUGGUCGCAUGCCGGGGGGUCAGAAUGGGGGGGGUGUCGCUGCUACUCCCCACAUCAACUAUUAGCACAUCCAUGGACAAAUCGCUACACUCACACACAAGCAUAAAUACAUACAUAUAUAGGUAUGCAUCCACACUUACCUGUACACCCCACACAUGUAGAUACACAUACACAACCAAUAGCAGACACGUUGUUUUUCUUUGUUUAUUUUUUGUGUUUUUUUUUUGUUUGAAAUGGAAAUUAAAAAUAAAGCAGUCCUCCGCAGAGGAGGGGUGGUGGAGGGAAUAUAUAUGUAGAUAUAUAAAAUAAUUGUCUCACAACUAGGGUGACAUACCUUGCCUGCUAACUGAAUUUUAGUGCUCCUUAGUUAUCCAUACUGACCAUCUAGUCUCUGUCACGGGAGAUCGCGGGCAGAGCGGCGAUCGUGCGUGCAGGCGGGCAAGGACAGGCAGACAAGCAGAAAUCGGGGCAAAGUACGGGGUUUAAUCGGGGACACGGAACUACGAACACUGACUGACAUCAAUGACGGACGAAGGACUCAGGUAAGACACGGACUGAAAUACACAGGACUGAGCAAAUGAACUAGAUACAGCUGGGUACAAUCGGGAGAAAACACGUGGGUAAUCAGGGGGCGUGGCACACAGGAGGAGCGGACGAGCCGGGCAUGACAGAACCCCCCCCCCCAAAGGCGCGCUACUCCGGGCGCGCCAAGGAAGGGGGCGACGGACGGGACGAGGCAAAACAGGACCUGAAAAACAAGAACAGAAUCAACGCAGGACGGGGAACAGGACCGAAGCACAAAACAUGGCAAGAGACAGAACGUAGGACAGGAGCUGACAAAGGGCUGGGAAAGCGGAGAGACAGAUCUGUCACGGGAGAUCGCGGGCAGAGCGGCGAUCGUGCGUGCAGGCGGGCAAGGACAGGCAGACAAGCAGAAAUCGGGGCAAAGUACGGGGUUUAAUCGGGGACACGGAACUACGAACACUGACUGACAUCAAUGAUGGACGAAGGACUCAGGAGGAGCGGACGAGCCGGGUAUGACAGAACCCCCCCCCAAAGGCGCGCUACUCCGGGCGCGCCAAGGAAGGGGGCGACGGACGGGACGAGGCAAAACAGGACCUGAAAAACAAGAACAGAAUCAACGCAGGACGGGGAACAGGACCGAAGCACAAAACAUGGCAAGAGACAGGACGUAGGACAGGAGCUGACAAAGGGCUGGGAAAGCAGAGAGACAGAUCUGUCACGGGAGAUCGCGGGCAGAGCGGCGAUCGUGCGUGCAGGCGGGCAAGGACAGGCAGACAAGCAGAAAUCGGGGCAAAGUACGGAGUUUAAUCGGGGACACGGAACUACGAACACUGACUGACAUCAAUGACGGACGAAGGACUCAGGAGGAGCGGACGAGCCGGGCAUGACAGAACCCCCCCCCAAAGGCGCGCUACUCCGGGCGCGCCAAGGAAGGGGGCGACGGACGGGACGAGGCAAAACAGGACCUGAAAAACAAGAACAGAAUCAACGCAGGACGGGGAACAGGACCGAAGCACAAAACAUGGCAAGAGACAGAACGUAGGACAGGAGCUGACAAAGGGCUGGGAAAGCGGAGAGACAGAUCUGUCACGGGAGAUCGCGGGCAGAGCGGCGAUCGUGCGUGCAGGCGGGCAAGGACAGGCAGACAAGCAGAAAUCGGGGCAAAGUACGGGGUUUAAUCGGGGACACGGAACUACGAACACUGACUGACAUCAAUGACGGACGAAGGACUCAGGUAAGACACGGACUGAAAUACACAGGACUGAGCAAAUGAACUAGAUACAGCUGGGUACAAUCGGGAGAAAACACGUGGGUAAUCAGGGGGCGUGGCACACAGGAGGAGCGGACGAGCCGGGCAUGACAGAACCCCCCCCCCAAAGGCGCGCUACUCCGGGCGCGCCAAGGAAGGGGGCGACGGACGGGACGAGGCAAAACAGGACCUGAAAAACAAGAACAGAAUCAACGCAGGACGGGGAACAGGACCGAAGCACAAAACAUGGCAAGAGACAGAACGUAGGACAGGAGCUGACAAAGGGCUGGGAAAGCGGAGAGACAGAUCUGUCACGGGAGAUCGCGGGCAGAGCGGCGAUCGUGCGUGCAGGCGGGCAAGGACAGGCAGACAAGCAGAAAUCGGGGCAAAGUACGGGGUUUAAUCGGGGACACGGAACUACGAACACUGACUGACAUCAAUGACGGACGAAGGACUCAGGUAAGACACGGACUGAAAUACACAGGACUGAGCAAAUGAACUAGAUACAGCUGGGUACAAUCGGGAGAAAACACGUGGGUAAUCAGGGGGCGUGGCACACAGGAGGAGCAGACGAGCCGGGCAUGACAGAACCCCCCCCCAAAGGCGCGCUACUCCGGGCGCGCCAAGGAAGGGGGCGACGGACGGGACGAGGCAAAACAGGACCUGAAAAACAAGAACAGAAUCAACGCAGGAUGGGGAACAGGACCGAAGCACAAAACAUGGCAAGAGACAGAACGUAGGACAGGAGCUGACAAAGGGCUGGGAAAGCGGAGAGACAGAUCUGUCACGGGAGAUCGCGGGCACACAGGAGGAGCGGACGAGCCGGUGCUCCUUAGUUAUCCAUACUGACCAUCUAGUCUCUGUCACGGGAGAUCGCGGGCAGAGCGGCGAUCGUGCGUGCAGGCGGGCAAGGACAGGCAGACAAGCAGAAAUCGGGGCAAAGUACGGGGUUUAAUCGGGGACACGGAACUACGAACACUGACUGACAUCAAUGACGGACGAAGGACUCAGGUAAGACACGGACUGAAAUACACAGGACUGACCAAAUGAACUAGAUACAGCUGGGUACAAUCGGGAGAAAACACGUGGGUAAUCAGGGGGCGUGGCACACAGGAGGAGCGGACGAGCCGGGCAUGACAGAACCCCCCCCCAAAGGCGCGCUACUCCGGGCGCGCCAAGGAAGGGGGCGACGGACGGGACGAGGCAAAACAGGACCUGAAAAACAAGAACAGAAUCAACGCAGGACGGGGAACAGGACCGAAGCACAAAACAUGGCAAGAGACAGAACGUAGGACAGGAGCUGACAAAGGGCUGGGAAAGCGGAGAGACAGAUCUGUCACGGGAGAUCGCGGGCAGAGCGGCGAUCGUGCGUGCAGGCGGGCAAGGACAGGCAGACAAGCAGAAAUCGGGGCAAAGUACGGGGUUUAAUCGGGGACACGGAACUACGAACACUGACUGACAUCAAUGACGGACGAAGGACUCAGGUAAGACACGGACUGAAAUACACAGGACUGAGCAAAUGAACUAGAUACAGCUGGGUACAAUCGGGAGAAAACACGUGGGUAAUCAGGGGGCGUGGCACACAGGAGGAGCGGACGAGCCGGGCAUGACAGAACCCCCCCCCCAAAGGCGCGCUACUCCGGGCGCGCCAAGGAAGGGGGCGACGGACGGGACGAGGCAAAACAGGACCUGAAAAACAAGAACAGAAUCAACGCAGGACGGGGAACAGGACCGAAGCACAAAACAUGGCAAGAGACAGAACGUAGGACAGGAGCUGACAAAGGGCUGGGAAAGCGGAGAGACAGAUCUGUCACGGGAGAUCGCGGGCAGAGCGGCGAUCGUGCGUGCAGGCGGGCAAGGACAGGCAGACAAGCAGAAAUCGGGGCAAAGUACGGGGUUUAAUCGGGGACACGGAACUACGAACACUGACUGACAUCAAUGACGGACGAAGGACUCAGGUAAGACACGGACUGAAAUACACAGGACUGAGCAAAUGAACUAGAUACAGCUGGGUACAAUCGGGAGAAAACACGUGGGUAAUCAGGGGGCGUGGCACACAGGAGGAGCAGACGAGCCGGGCAUGACAGAACCCCCCCCCAAAGGCGCGCUACUCCGGGCGCGCCAAGGAAGGGGGCGACGGACGGGACGAGGCAAAACAGGACCUGAAAAACAAGAACAGAAUCAACGCAGGAUGGGGAACAGGACCGAAGCACAAAACAUGGCAAGAGACAGAACGUAGGACAGGAGCUGACAAAGGGCUGGGAAAGCGGAGAGACAGAUCUGUCACGGGAGAUCGCGGGCACACAGGAGGAGCGGACGAGCCGGUUAUCCAUACUGACCAUCUAGUCUCUGUCACGGGAGAUCGCGGGCAGAGCGGCGAUCGUGCGUGCAGGCGGGCAAGGACAGGCAGACAAGCAGAAAUCGGGGCAAAGUACGGGGUUUAAUCGGGGACACGGAACUACGAACACUGACUGACAUCAAUGACGGACGAAGGACUCAGGUAAAUCACGGACUGAAAUACACAGGACUGAGCAAAUGAACUAGAUACAGCUGGGUACAAUCGGGAGAAAACACGUGGGUAAUCAGGGGGCGUGUGGCACACAGGAGGAGCGGACGAGCCGGGUAUGACAGAACCCCCCCCCAAAGGCGCGCUACUCCGGGCGCGCCAAGGAAGAGGGCGACGGACGGGACGAGGCAAAACAGGACCUGAAAAACAAGAACAGAAUCAACGCAGGACGGGGAACAGGACCGAAGCACAAAACAUGGCAAGAGACAGAACGUAGGACAGGAGCUGACAAAGGGCUGGGAAAGCGGAGAGACAGAUCUGUCACGGGAGAUCGCGGGCAGAGCGGCGAUCGUGCGUGCAGGCGGGCAAGGACAGGCAGGCAAGCAGAAAUCGGGGCAAAGUACGGAGUUUAAUCGGGGACACGGAACUACGAACACUGACUGACAUCAAUGACGGACGAAGGACUCAGGUAAGACACGGACUGAAAUACACAGGACUGAGCAAAUGAACUAGAUACAGCUGGGUACAAUCGGGAGAAAACACGUGGGUAAUCAGGGGGCGUGGCACACAGGAGGAGCGGACGAGUCGGGCAUGACAGAACCCCCCCCAAAGGCACGCUACUCCGGGCGCGCCAAGGAAGGGGGCGACGGACGGGACGAGGCAAAACAGGACCUGAAAAACAAGAACAGAAUCAACGCAGGACGGGGAACAGGACCGAAGCACAAAACAUGGCAAGAGACAGAACGUAGGACAGGAGCUGACAAAGGGCUGGGAAAGCGGAGAGACAGAUCUGUCACGGGAGAUCGCGGGCAGAGCGGCGAUCGUGCGUGCAGGCGGGCAAGGACAGGCAGACAAGCAGAAAUCGGGGCAAAGUACGGGGUUUAAUCGGGGACACGGAACUACGAACACUGACUGACAUCAAUGACGGACGAAGGACUCAGGUAAGACACGGACUGAAAUACACAGGACUGAGCAAAUGAACUAGAUACAGCUGGGUACAAUCGGGAGAAAACACGUGGGUAAUCAGGGGGCGUGGCACACAGGAGGAGCGGACGAGCCGGGCAUGACAGAACCCCCCCCCAAAGGCGCGCUACUCCGGGCGCGCCAAGGAAGGGGGCGACGGACGGGACGAGGCAAAACAGGACCUGAAAAACAAGAACAGAAUCAACGCAGGAUGGGGAACAGGACCGAAGCACAAAACAUGGCAAGAGACAGAACGUAGGACAGGAGCUGACAAAGGGCUGGGAAAGCGGAGAGACAGAUCUGUCACGGGAGAUCGCGGGCACACAGGAGGAGCGGACGAGCCGGGCAUGACAGUCUCGAUACACCCAUAUAUAUUUUUUUUUGGGAAUAUGGUGGGGUGCACGGGAUUCCGCCGUCUGCCAGCGGUGGGGAGCUCGUACUCUGACCACUCCCUCACUUUUAAUGUACCGCAGUUUUGAAUUGCACACACUUCAGUUCACAAACACAUUCAUACACACCGACAUGUACAUACAUUACACACACACACAUUGAGCGGGGGGCAGAUGGGGGCCUGAAGGGGGCCCCUUUUAUUCUCCCUCUCUGGGCCCUUGGAGGGUGUGGUGGGUGGUCCCGGGGGGGGUCUGGAGAGUACCCGGAACACCUGCCUGGUCCUUGACCCACAGUGGCACAUCCUUGAUGAUAAUACGUAGUUGUAAAUUUGUAUUAUGUGGUGGUUAAUGUUGCUAUUUAUAGUUAUUGUUGUUAUCACAGCUGCAGCUGUACUUAUCAUUUUUGUUAUUGCUAUUACUUUUGUUAUUUGCUCUAGUUGUUUUUCUUUUUAUUUAUUUUUAUUUUCUUUUUGUUUUUCUUUGUUUUUGUGUUUUUUUUUCUUCAUAAUGGAAAUUUAAAAUAAAGUAGUCCUCCGCAGAGGAGGGGUGGUGGAGGGAAUAUGCAUGUAAAAAAAAAUAAUUGUCACGCAACAGGGGUGACAUAUAUCUCCCUGAGCCUGCGCAGUUUGUCGGGUGUUAUGGGUGGUCCCGAAGGGGUCUGACCCCCUCUGCUGGUGGUGGGCUGGGUUGGUGCGUGAGUUGUGUCACUGUGGGUCAGGGUCCUGAUGGGUAUUCCGGGUACUUUGGGACACCACGUGUGUCGAAGGCGGCUUUGUGGUUUGGUCUUGUGCUGGGUGGGGGUGCCUACCUUCUUCUGUGGCCCUGGGUUCGGCUUCCUGGAAAGUGGGGUGGGCCCUUUUCACGGCCCCCCUCUACUUCCCGCUCCCCCUCAGCACUACUGGUGGUCGCAUGCCGGGGGGUCAGAAUGGGGGGGGUGUCGCUGCUACUCCCCACAUCAACUAUUAGCACAUCCAUGGACAAAUCGCUACACUCACACACAAGCAUAAAUACAUACAUAUAUAGGUAUGCAUCCACACUUACCUGUACACCCCACACAUGUAGAUACACAUACACAACCAAUAGCAGACACGUUGUUUUUCUUUGUUUAUUUUUUGUGUUUUUUUUUGUUUGAAAUGGAAAUUAAAAAUAAAGCAGUCCUCCGCAGAGGAGGGGUGGUGGAGGGAAUAUACAUGUAAAAAAAAAAUUAUUAUAUGGAGGUUGAUGUUGCUAUUUAUUGUUAUUGUUGUUAUCAUAACUGCAGCUGUAAUUAUCAUUUUUGUUAUUGCUAUUACUAUUGUUACUGGCUCUAGUUGUUUUCUUUUUAUUUAUUUUUAUUAUUUUUAUUUUCUUUUUGUUUUUCUUUGUUUUUGUGUUUUUUUUCCUUUUUAAUGGAAAUUAAAAAUAAAGCAGUCCUCCGCAGAGGAGGGGUGGUGGAGGGAAUAUAUAUGUAAAAAAAAAUAAUUGUCUCACAACUAGGGUGACAUACCUUGUCUGCUCACUCAAUUUUAGUGCUCCUUAGUUAUCCAUACUGACCAUCUAGUGUCGAUACACCCAUUUAUAUGUAUACUAUUCCGAUAUUUUCCGAAUUUAUUUUAUGUUAUUCCUUAUUACUAUGUAAUGGGAUAGAUAUUUAAGAGCUAUUUAAUCCAUAACCACUCCCUAAGGAGUCAAUGUGUAUCUAAUGAAUUUCAUUUUUGCACUCAAUAAACUGCAUUUUUUUCACAUUA
Molecule: long non-coding RNA, 12216 nt
Organism: Brienomyrus brachyistius
Lineage: Eukaryota; Metazoa; Chordata; Actinopteri; Osteoglossiformes; Mormyridae
Exons: 5
Source: RefSeq, a predicted model, not a curated record